AUAGCGAAAAGCUUGAAUGCUGUA
This 24-nucleotide non-coding RNA is filed under the name Arabidopsis thaliana (thale cress). Lineage: Eukaryota; Viridiplantae; Streptophyta; Magnoliopsida; Brassicales; Brassicaceae. The record is from RNAcentral.